UUCUCUCUCACCCGCUCUCUCUCAUCACUUGACUCUCUCAGUGACUCAAGUUCCUCUUCUUCUUUUUUCCAGAUUUUCUCACCCGAUCUCUCAGUCACUCAGUCUCUCAGUCACUCACUCUCUCUCUCUCUCUCUCUCUCUCUCUCUCUCUCUCUCACUUGCUCUGACUGUCAUCUCCCUCAGCCAAUUUCUACAUGGUUCUCUCUCAGCCACUCUCGCUCUCUAUCAGCCGCUCUCUCUUAGUCUCUCUCGCUCUCUCUCAGUCAUUCUGAGUCUCCCUCUCUCGAUUAUUGUCGGUUCGAGAAUUGAUUUUGGGAUCAUAGGAAACGAUUGGCUUGCUCUAGAGGUGCAAAUUUGAUUUGAGGAGUGUAGAACUCAUGGAAUUGUUUGUGCAUAUGUAAUGGAAAUUUAUUUGUUUUCAUUUGGAUUUUCAUUUGAACUUUGCAAAUAUGCAGAUUGUGAUUGAGAUUACUCUCACAAUCUGAAUUGGUCUGUAAUAAUUAUUGGAUUAUUCGGACAUGUGUGGUGGAUGAUGAUUUUUUUAGGUUAUAAGGGUU
Prunus avium (sweet cherry) is the source of this 557-nucleotide long non-coding RNA. RefSeq lists it as uncharacterized. The record is from RefSeq and is a predicted model, not a curated record. Lineage: Eukaryota; Viridiplantae; Streptophyta; Magnoliopsida; Rosales; Rosaceae.